RNAcentral lists this ribosomal RNA (262 nucleotides) under uncultured archaeon. RNAcentral describes it as "partial 16S ribosomal RNA". It matches the Rfam family "Archaeal small subunit ribosomal RNA", at positions 748 to 1008 of the family's 1478-position model. The record is from RNAcentral.
CAGCCGUAAACGAUGCGCGUUAGGUGUAUCGACGACCACGAGUCGUCGAGGUGCCGAAGGGAAACCGUGAAACGUGCCGCCUGGGAAGUACGGUCGCAAGGCUGAAACUUAAAGGAAUUGGCGGGGGAGCACCACAACAGGUGGAGCCUGCGGUUUAAUUGGACUCAACGCCGGAAAUCUCACCGGAUAAGACUGUUACAUGAAAGCCGAGUUGAAGACUCUGCUAGAUUUUUCAGAGAGGUGGUGCAUGGCGUCAGUGACU